AGGUGUUUAAAAAUAAAGACCUGCCUGUAUGCGAUCAUUGCCGGUUUACCUUGCUGAUGUGUAUCAAGAAUCUCUCCAUCUGAUACAUAUUGAUCGAUUACGAAAAAGCUUUCAACCGUCUUAAUCAUGAACACAUGUGGGGAGCCCUCAGACGCAAGGGUGUCCCGGAGAACAUUAUUGGCCUCAUUGAAGCACAGUACAGGGCAUGUUUGUGUAGAGUACUGCACAACGGUGUCUUGUCCGAUCCCAUUCGGGUCAUUGCUGGAGUGAGGCAAGGCUGUAUCAUAUCACCGCUUCUGUUCCUCUUCGUAAUCGACGAGAUCGUGGGUUGCCGUGGCAGCCCAUUACUAUGGAACACCUAAAUGACUUCGAAUUGGCUGAUAACAUUGCUCCCCUAGUUCAACGGUGCUCUGAAAACAAGAUCGAUGAUCUUGCCAAUCGCACCUCGAUGGCAGGUCUUACCAUCAUCGUCAACAAGACCAAAUCGUUGGAUGUAAACACGGUCAAACCUUCCAGCUUUACUGUAGCUGGACAAGUAGUGGAGAAUGUUGAAAGCUUCCAAUAGUUUGGUAACCAAAUGGCAGCCGAUGGUGACCAAAGAUCGACAUAGGUGCACGGAUCAAGAAGGCGAAGGCUGUUUUUGCGAGUUUGAGAAAUGCGUAGAAAAACAACCAUAUUAGUCGACGCACAAAAGUCCUAAUUUUCAACCGGAACGUCAAAUCUGUGCUGCUGUACGCCAGGGAAACUUGGUGUGUAUCAGCGUAGAAUAUUCAACGGUUUCAGGUCUUCAUGCCUACGAUAUAUAAUUCAUGUAUGGUGGCCUCACAAUUGGAUCUCCAACGUGGUGGCGGUUGCCGGUACUGCACAUUGUUGAUGACGGGAAGCUACGAUAGAUAAUAACUUCGUUAGUGUCGGAGAAGUUUCGUCCGUCAAUCAGAACAUGGUCGAUUUGCGAUUCCCUCUGCUGUGGUGUUCUCCAGGUGUAACGGAGACUGUAUUGGAAAAGGGGCUACGCAUGGCCAUGUUUUAGUAGGCAGCGAAAUCGAUGCGUCGUGUAGGCUGUUUUUUGUUAUCUGCUAGUGGGCUCUACAGCGUGUUCUUAGUUUCAAGGGCAAUUUCAUGCACCAGGAUCAUCAAGUGUUUUGACCUUAUCUAGUUGUUAAUUGCAACAUGCAACUGUUCUCCGAUUCGUCAUUGCCAUCUCAAAUGCUCAACGAAUGAUAUGUAUUUUCCCGGGUGCAGACCAAAACAACAAAAUCAAAAUUGCCGUGUUUACACGUUCAUAGGAUCGUACUUUCCCUCACCUUUAUCUAAGCGUGAUAAGAUAACGACAACCGGUGGAGACUAAAACGAAUUUUAUUGUUAUCGCGCUAUCAGCGUCAAACUCAACUGGAUGGAAGGGAAGCAGGUGACAGACACACUAAAGAACAGAAUGAGUCACAUUUCGCGUCCACAGCUCCACUCAUUUGCACUUGCUUGCCUUUGAGGUGAUGGAACCAGUUGGAACACCGCCGCGUGGCAAAAUUGUUCAUAUGAAAAAACUCACUACAAGGUUUGAUGUUUCCGGUUCCAUAAUUGGAAAUUAAAAACAUGAUGAAUUGGCAAUAUUUUAUUUAUGCGUGCAUAAAAAGCAUAAAUCCUAAGGAAUAAAGAUCAUUUGAAAUCAAGAGUGAUUCACACACCACCACGCUUUAUACACCUAUCCAGCCUACUGCGUGCGCAUCAUUUACAUCAGUCGACGUAAUCUCACAGUACAGCCCGGUUACUGGGAUCGCUGCAAGACGCUGAUGAAAAUUGCACCGUCUGCUAUAACAAAACAUAGGUACAUUCAGCGAAAGUUUUGCACCCAGGCAGCCAGCAGCAGCGGCAGACCACCAAAAACCGGGGGUCCCAUUUAAAAUGCGAAUAAUUAUACUCUGGUUCGGUGCGGUGGUUCCGGGCAGACCGCGACGUCGACCGCCAAUCCAAGGUACCUGUCUGUACAAAAGCAUGCUGAUUCAUACCGCCGUUGUAUGUAUACACGAUACUCGAAGGUGAGAGUGAUGAUGCUACUGAGCGUUGCGUUGCGAUCCUCGUGCAUCUUGUCCGGAAGAAAACGGAAAAAGCGUUGCGUUGUUGUAACGCGAAACGAUAACACAAAAACGACGGAGCCCGCCGCCGCGGUUGGGGUGAACGAGCGCGCGUCUGGCUCGCUAAAAAUAACAAUAAAUAGAUCCACCACCACCGGCCGAUCCGGAGAGCUUUGGGGUAGAAGAAGAGCUCCACGCACUCUGCUGAAGAUGAGCGAUGAUGACGACGCGGCGAUGGGAUCGCAAGGUGAAAUUUUGAUGUUUUCCUCUUAAAUUUAUACAUAAUAUUUGAGCCAGGGGUUUUCAACCUUUUUCGAGCAAUUUUGUCAUCCUCACAUACAGGGAACUUAGCCUAUUUUGAGUAGCUACGGGUCGUCCAGUCUAUGAGUAUGGUGUAAAUUUAGCCAAAGGCACCGAUGAUGUUAAAUUUUGUCCUUAAUACAAUAAUGAUGAAGGAUUUCAAUCUACAUCAAAACUGUCGAGCAGUGAUGGAAUUACUCUCAUCAUGAAGCAAUUCGCGAGUGUAAAGCCAACACAAGGCUUACUCACGAUACCGAGAGUAAACAGUGUGUGAGUUUAUUCGCACCCGCCUGCUUCGUGAGUAAGAAACAAAACAAAAACCGAAACAUUCAUGAGUUUUUAUUCGUGAAGAACUAGUGGAGGUGCGGGAAGUGCAUUUUAUUGUGGUUGAAAUAGCAAUCCAGUGAUUAUCCAACAUAAACUAACGCUUUAUGCUUCAUUGUUCCUGAAAAUCAGCACUGCCGGUCGUUAAAAUGCGUUUUUUGUCCAAAUGCAAAAAAAAAACUCACGAAGCUUCGCAAAUCACAUGCGAGUGCCUACUGUAGUAUAGUAGAGUUAGAUGAGAGUAGGCUGUGACAAUUGAGCUUGACAGGAAUGAAGGAUAAUAAAUCAUUGUUGUUUAAUACUCUGAAAACUAAAGUAUAUUUUAUGGCUUGCUACAUUGGCGGCGAGGAUGAAGCCAAAACAAGUUGGAAGAAAAGGAAAUAUAUUCUGGAGAAGGAAUACCUCAGGAUCUACCUGCAGAACUGGUCAAACACAAAACCGGAAAAAGAAUAUCCAGCGGUUGUAGCGGUUGUGUUAAAUCUAUGGUUGUAGUGCAAAUGAAGUUGUUGUGGUAACCAGGAGCGGUUUGAAUUGAAAUGUCCCCAAUUCCAUGAACGCAGAUGCGAAAGCGCUCAAUACGGCCAGUUAAAAGGAAAAGGUUAGUAAUACCUAGAGAGGAAGUGCGAUAACGUUAAUCAUGAAUAAAGAAAACUAUCUCAGCUGUCUGUGAGGCAAAUGAAAGUUAGAGAUUGCGUUUAUUUUAGCAGUUGUUUUUAAAAUUUAAGUAAAAAGGAUUGUUCGUCGAACCACCAAAUCCUCAUAACGAAACCUGGGAGGUGGGUUGCCAAUUGAUUCAAGCUAAAAUUAAUAAAUUUAAUUAAACGGAAUUCACAGGAUAAUUACACAAUCACAGUUUUACUGUUCUACCGUGGCAUGAUUCUGUGACUCAGAAAUCAGAAAGGAAAAGUAACCAAUUGGUUAAAGAUUCAAAUUGGAUAAUGAGGAAGUUCAAAAUAUGACAUAUAUUCGGGUUUCUCUGAUACCAUGAUCUGGGGGAAAGCGAGUGUUCUGUCAGAUUAAUUAUUGCGCUGCUGGAAGUAUAAUCCAACGUGACAAACCAUAAUAAAAGAAAUUAUUGUUAUUGCUUCUAAUUCAACACGGAGAUUGCUUACCCAAUGAGAUUACAGAUCAAACAGAAUGAUAAUUGUUUAACUGUUAAAUAAUUAUACUAUUUGAUAACAAAUCUUGUUAUCGAGAUCACAGAAUAUACGAGUCAUAGCAAUUGACAUAUUGCAAUUCACAUGUGUAUUUGUUGCUAUAUGGUAACGUUAGCCUACUAUCUAAACAGUAUGGAUGCCCUGUUAUAACUUAGUUAUUCAUUCAACCGAGAGGCUUAAUGCAUCACAACAAAUAAAAUAGAAACGAAAUGCAGCAAUCAGAGCACAAUAAUAGGUUGAUUCAUUUAUAUGAUUUCUUCUGUGAAAUAUUAGGAUGAUGUUUUGUAGGAAGAUUGAAUUGCUUUAUUACGUCAAAUUUGAGUUAGACAUUUAAAAAAAAAGUAUAUGUUUUAACAGUAUGCUCUUUACCAAUGAUUGUAUUGUAUUCACAUUUUAUAUUUUAUAUGUAUUUAUGCUUGUGUUAUUAUAACAACAUAUAGAUAAAUCAGGAAUUAAAAAAAAAAAAAAGCAUUAUCAUGCAGAAUAUUCGUUGAGUUCAGGCUUGGAAAUAACUGGUGGCUUGAAAAAAAAAAAUGAAGAAAAGUUUUAUCUUGUUUUUAUGAAUGAUACUACUGUGAACGUCGGUUUGAAACUAUAUAGAAUACAAUGUGCAUAAAGUUUAGUGGACACAAAACAAAUGUAAAUUAUUAUAAUAUGGAACAUAUUAUGCGGUAAAAAUAUAGUGUGUUUCCUUGGUUGUAAUGUUGUUUAGUUAAUAAUAUGGACAAGAAUUUCAAAAGUUUAAGCACCAUUUCAUGUAUUAUUUUAACCAUUAAAAUGAACGUUUAAACUGGUCUUUGAUGUGGAUCUCCCAUUAUACUUCAGUGCCUAAUUUUUUGAGUCGAAUCCAAUAAUAAUAGAAAUGAGCUACCAAUUGACAAAUGACCCUUUAAACUCUGGAAGGAUGCUUUCAGUCGUAUAUCUUUCCAAGAAAUGUUUGGAUGUUUACAGUCAUUUCGGGCCUCAAAAUAGGAAAUAUGUGAAUGAAUAACAAUAUCUGUAUCUAAUAUAGAGGAUAAACAUCGUUGAUGAUAUAAUCAUCAAAUAGAUUCAAAUGGAUAUUAUAUAGCCCUGCUUUUUAUAAAUUGCGUGGAAUGUCUUAAAUAAUCAGUUAAGUCUUAUUUCGUUUGGCAUAAAUGCAGUUCAGUCUAUAGUGCCGAUUCGUUAGUUGGAGACUCGUUAGACAGUUUGCCUCGAUGGCUUGAUGUUCGCUGAUUGUGGCAAAACCUUAAAAAAAAAGAACUGUCAAUGUCAACAUCGAUGUCAAAGCGAGUUUGACAUCUGACCGCAAUCGCAUCACAGAUCCUAUAAACAGAACGUUUGUGAAAGUGGUUCGUGACGUAUUUCACGUCAUUUGUGUGUGUUGAGAGCAUUUUAAUCAGUUGUCAGUUGCUCAAUGAACGAACACGAUUCGUUAAUCGGGGCACAGUCGUAAACCAAUCAGCGAAUCCAAGCUGUACUAUGAGAUGCAGGAAGCGAGACUUCAGUCCAUCUAUAGUAAAACGCUAUGUUAACGAGAUGUAGUCAGUACUGGCCAAAGACCAAAUGUAGGAGAUUUGUCUCAGUCCAUUUGGCAUUCCAGUCUAUCAUGAGAUGAAGGAAGUGAGACUUCAGUCCAUCUAUGAUAAAGGGAAACGCAAAGGAAACUUGAUGUUUCAGUCUGCAAAAGAAAAGACCAAAUGAAGGAGAUUCGUCUCAGUCCAUUUGGCAUUCCAGUCUAUCAUGAGAUGAAGGAAGUGAGACUUCAGUCCAUCUAUGAUAAAGGGAAACGCAAAGGAAACUUGAUGUUUCAGUCUGCAAAAGAAAAGACCAAAUGAAGGAGAUUCGUCUCAGUCCAUUUGGCAUUCCAGUCUAUCAUGAGAUGAAGGAAGUGAGACUUCAGUCCAUCUAUGAUAAAGGGAAACGCAAAGGAAACUUGAUGUUUCAGUCUGCAAAAGAAAAGACCAAAUGAAGGAGAUUCGUCUCAGUCCAUUUGGCAUUCCAGUCUAUCAUGAGAUGAAGGAAGUGAGACUUCAGUCCAUCAAUGAUAAAGGGAAACGCAAAGGAAACUUGAUGUUUCAGUCUGAAAAACAAAAGACCAAAUGAAGGAGAUUUGUCUUAGUCCAUUUGGCAGUCUUUAGUCCAUUUUUGAUAAAGAUAAAUGUAAAGGGAAAUUGAUGUUUCAUUCUGAUGAAUACAGACUGUUGAUCUUUAGUUCAUCUGCUACAGCGGUAGAAGCUCUGGAUUUUAUAAUAGACUAACAUUUUUUAAGUCUCGUUUAGCAACAACAAUUAUUUCGGUAUUGGAUAUGAAAACUGGAGUGAUAUGGAUUCAAGAUUGUUCAAAAAAAAAAAAAAAAAAAAAAAAAAAACAGCAAAUUCAGGAACCUACCAAUUAAGAUUCAAUUGAUUUAUAAAAUAAUUCAAGAUAAAAAAGGUAAAAAAAAAAAUAAUCAAACGAAAAAAAGAAGAAAAGGAAAGCUAAGUAUCAAAUUAAAUGAAUGACUGAAAUUAGUAUUUUUAAUAAGUGUUUUUUUUUAUCAUUUAGGCACGUGAUGGCUGCAAUAAAGUUCGCUACUGAACUAUUGUUUCGAAUGGACCUAAUCUAAAACUAAUACUGGAUUGAGAUAUGCAGUGGAGUUAUUCCAAGGAAGUGGCAUCCCUCUCUUCACCAACAUGACGUAGCAGUAGCCACCGUAACAAAGGCUCGAGUGACCGCCUCAAGAUGACAACCUAUCUUUCAACUUGUUGCCUGGUCUAACGCGUGUCACAAGAAGAGUUAUUCACGGACGUUUAUUACUGAGGAAUAUUGUAUUUGUUGUUUUAUUAAAGUUAAGGAAAGAUAGUGUCGGCUAUUCAGUAUGACAGGAAAUAAUAUGUAUCUAAACGAAGGCCAUUGUAGCUCAAAUAAGUUAAAAUAGGGAGAAAUCCACUAAACAUGAAUAACAUUAAGUAUAUACUUUCGUUGCAACUAUUAGAGCUUAUUGAUAUUAAAAAAAUAUUUAUUACAACGUACUGAUACUCUGUUAUCCAUAAGAAUUAACUAUUUUGUUUCUUCAUCAUUAGAGAAAAGGAGAGAUGUAGUAUAGUAGAGUUAGAUGAGAGUAGGCUGUGACAAUUGAGCUUGACAGGAAUGAAGGAUAAUAAAUCAUUGUUGUUUAAUACUCUGAAAACUAAA
Aedes albopictus (Asian tiger mosquito) is the source of this 7006-nucleotide long non-coding RNA. RefSeq lists it as uncharacterized. Lineage: Eukaryota; Metazoa; Arthropoda; Insecta; Diptera; Culicidae. The record is from RefSeq and is a predicted model, not a curated record. The transcript is spliced from 2 exons.